Talpa occidentalis (Iberian mole) is the source of this 104-nucleotide small nuclear RNA. NCBI's taxonomy places the organism in Eukaryota, Metazoa, Chordata, Mammalia, Eulipotyphla, Talpidae. The record is from RefSeq and is a predicted model, not a curated record.
GUGAAAACUUCAGCAGCACAAAUAUGAAUAUUGGAAAGAGACAAAGAUUAACAUGGCCCCAACACAAGAAAGACACACAACAUCGCAAAGAAUUCCAUACUUCU